This 902-nucleotide ribosomal RNA is filed under the name uncultured Lactobacillus sp. RNAcentral describes it as "bacterial SSU rRNA". It matches the Rfam family "Bacterial small subunit ribosomal RNA", at positions 8 to 862 of the family's 1533-position model. The record is from RNAcentral. Lineage: Bacteria; Bacillati; Bacillota; Bacilli; Lactobacillales; Lactobacillaceae.
AGAGUUUGAUCCUGGCUCAGGAUGAACGCCGGCGGUGUGCCUAAUACAUGCAAGUCGAACGCGUUGGCCCAAUUGAUUGAUGGUGCUUGCACCUGAUUGAUUUUGGUCGCCAACGAGUGGCGGACGGGUGAGUAACACGUAGGUAACCUGCCCAGAAGCGGGGGACAACAUUUGGAAACAGAUGCUAAUACCGCAUAACAACGUUGUUCGCAUGAGCAACGCUUAAAAGAUGGCUUCUCGCUAUCACUUCUGGAUGGACCUGCGGUGCAUUAGCUUGUUGGUGGGGUAACGGCCUACCAAGGCGAUGAUGCAUAGCCGAGUUGAGAGACUGAUCGGCCACAAUGGGACUGAGACACGGCCCAUACUCCUACGGGAGGCAGCAGUAGGGAAUCUUCCACAAUGGGCGCAAGCCUGAUGGAGCAACACCGCGUGAGUGAAGAAGGGUUUCGGCUCGUAAAGCUCUGUUGUUAAAGAAGAACACGUAUGAGAGUAACUGUUCAUACGUUGACGGUAUUUAACCAGAAAGUCACGGCUAACUACGUGCCAGCAGCCGCGGUAAUACGUAGGUGGCAAGCGUUAUCCGGAUUUAUUGGGCGUAAAGAGAGUGCAGGCGGUUUUCUAAGUCUGAUGUGAAAGCCUUCGGCUUAACCGGAGAAGUGCAUCGGAAACUGGAUAACUUGAGUGCAGAAGAGGGUAGUGGAACUCCAUGUGUAGCGGUGGAAUGCGUAGAUAUAUGGAAGAACACCAGUGGCGAAGGCGGCUACCUGGUCUGCAACUGACGCUGAGACUCGAAAGCAUGCGUAGCGAACAGGAUUAGAUACCCUGGUAGUCCAUGCCGUAAACGAUGAGUGCUACGUGUUGGAAGGGUUUCCGCCCCUUCAGUGCUCGGAGCUACCGCAUUA